RNAcentral lists this ribosomal RNA (465 nucleotides) under uncultured bacterium. RNAcentral's name for it is "partial 16S ribosomal RNA". It matches the Rfam family "Bacterial small subunit ribosomal RNA", at positions 28 to 507 of the family's 1533-position model. The record is from RNAcentral.
GAUGAACGCUGGCGGCGUGCUUAACACAUGCAAGUCGAACGGAAAGGCUCCUGCUUGCAGGGGUACUCGAGUGGCGAACGGGUGAGUAACACGUGUGUGAUCUGCCCUGCACUUCGGGAUAAGCCUGGGAAACUGGGUCUAAUACCGGAUAGGACCACAUUUUGGAUGGUGUGGUGGAAAGUUUUUCGGUGUGGGAUGAGCUCGCGGCCUAUCAGCUUGUUGGUGGGGUAAUGGCCUACCAAGGCGUCGACGGGUAGCCGGCCUGAGAGGGUGUACGGCCACAAUGGGACUGAGAUACGGCACAGACGGCAACGGGAGGCAGCAGUGGGGAAUAGUGCACAAUGGGCGCAAGCCUGAUGCAGGGACGCGGCGUGGGGGAUGACGGCCGUCGGGUUGUAAACUGCUUUCGCUAGGGACGAAGCGAAAGUGACGGUAACUGGAGAAGAAGCACCGGCUAACUACGUG